This 600-nucleotide ribosomal RNA is filed under the name uncultured bacterium. Its description in RNAcentral is "bacterial SSU rRNA". It matches the Rfam family "Bacterial small subunit ribosomal RNA", at positions 737 to 1338 of the family's 1533-position model. The record is from RNAcentral.
UGAUUGACGCUGAGGCUCGAAAGUGCGGGUAUCGAACAGGAUUAGAUACCCUGGUAGUCCGCACAGUAAACGAUGAGUGCCCGCUCUCGGUGCGAAAGCGUCGGGGGCCAAGCGAAAGCAUUAAGCACUCCACCUGGGGAGUACGCCGGCAACGGUGAAACUCAAAGGAAUUGACGGGGGCCCGCACAAGCGGAGGAACAUGUGGUUUAAUUCGAUGAUACGCGAGGAACCUUACCCGGGCUUGAACUGAGGAGGCCGGGAGGCAGAGACGCCUUCCAUCCCGCAAGGGUCUCCUUGGAGGUGCUGCAUGGUUGUCGUCAGCUCGUGCCGUGAGGUGUCGGCUUAAGUGCCAUAACGAGCGCAACCCUCCUGCGUAGUUGCCAUCAGUUGGAGCUGGGCACUCUGCGCAUACUGCCAUCGCAAGAUGUGAGGAAGGUGGGGAUGACGUCAAAUCAGCACGGCCCUUACGUCCGGGGCUACACACGUGUUACAAUGGGGGGCACAGAGAGCUGCUACCGUGCGAGCGGCGGCGAAUCUUGAAAUCCCCUCUCAGUUCGGAUCGGAGUCUGCAACCCGACUCCGUGAAGCUGGAUUCGCUAG